Molecule: ribosomal RNA, 253 nt
Filed under: uncultured bacterium
Lineage: Bacteria
Description: partial 16S ribosomal RNA
Rfam family: Bacterial small subunit ribosomal RNA
Source: RNAcentral
UACGAAGGGGGCUAGCGUUGUUCGGAAUUACUGGGCGUAAAGCGCGCGCAGGCGGUCCUUUAAGUCAGGGGUGAAAGCCCAGAGCUCAACUCUGGAACUGCCUUUGAAACUAGAGGACUUGGGUACGGGAGAGGUGAGUGGAAUUCCGAGUGUAGAGGUGAAAUUCGUAGAUAUUCGGAAGAACACCAGUGGCGAAGGCGACUUACUGGACACGUAUUGACGCUGAGGUGCGAAAGCGUGGGGAGCAAACAGG